This 467-nucleotide ribosomal RNA is filed under the name uncultured bacterium. RNAcentral's name for it is "partial 16S ribosomal RNA". It matches the Rfam family "Bacterial small subunit ribosomal RNA", at positions 28 to 506 of the family's 1533-position model. The record is from RNAcentral.
GACGAACGCUGGCGGCGUGCUUAACACAUGCAAGUCGAACGGAAAGGCCCUGCUUUUGUGGGGUGCUCGAGUGGCGAACGGGUGAGUAACACGUGAGUAACCUGCCCUUGACUUUGGGAUAACUUCAGGAAACUGGGGCUAAUACCGGAUAGGAGCUCCUGCUGCAUGGUGGGGGUUGGAAAGUUUCGGCGGUUGGGGAUGGACUCGCGGCUUAUCAGCUUGUUGGUGGGGUAGUGGCUUACCAAGGCUUUGACGGGUAGCCGGCCUGAGAGGGUGACCGGCCACAUUGGGACUGAGAUACGGCCCAGACUCCUACGGGAGGGAGGAGUGGGGAAUUUUGCACAAUGGGCGGAAGCCUGAUGCAGCAACGCCGCGGGGGGGAUGGCGGCCUUCGGGUUGUAAACCGCUUUCGCCUGUGACGAAGCGUGAGUGACGGUAAUGGGAAAAGAAGCACCGGCUAACUACGU